RNAcentral lists this ribosomal RNA (444 nucleotides) under uncultured bacterium. RNAcentral describes it as "partial 16S ribosomal RNA". It matches the Rfam family "Bacterial small subunit ribosomal RNA", at positions 355 to 792 of the family's 1533-position model. The record is from RNAcentral.
UAGGGAAUCUUCCACAAUGGACGCAAGUCUGAUGGAGCAACGCCGCGUGAGUGAAGAAGGUUUUCGGACCGUAAAGCUCUGUUGUUGGUGAAGAAGGAUAGAGGUAGUAACUGGCCUUUAUUUGACGGUAAUCAACCAGAAAGUCACGGCUAACUACGUGCCAGCAGCCGCGGUAAUACGUAGGUGGCAAGCGUUGUCCGGAUUUAUUGGGCGUAAAGCGAGCGCAGGCGGAAGAAUAAGUCUGAUGUGAAAGCCCUCGGCUUAACCGAGGAAUUGCAUCGGAAACUGUUUUCUUGAGUGCAGAAGAGGAGAGUAGAACUCCAUGUGUAGCGGUGGAAUGCGUAGAUAUAUGGAAGAAUACCAGUGGCGAAGGCGGCUCUCUGGUCUGCAACUGACGCUGAGGCUCGAAAGCAUGGGUAGCGAACAGGAUUAGAUACCCUGGUA